AUCCUGGUUGUUAUGUAUUCCAUUUCGCUCUGAUGUAUAAUAUAUUAUAGGUUGUACAUUAUGACAGUUUAUUCAGGAUUUUCUCAAGAUUAUGUAUUGCCCGGCAAAUUAUCUUGUAAUUAUACUAUGUCGGACAAAAGUUAUUCUGUAAUUUUAAUGUUUCCCGAUUCAGUUAUGUAUGCUCCUAUUGAUAUUCUAGAUAAAUCAAUAUGGGGUGUUAUAUAGGAUGUUUUGAAUUGUAAUGACUUGUAUUUUGCUUGAAUGUUAUAACAUUUUGGAUUGUUGGUAUUUUGCUUGAAUCGUAAGACUUGGUAUUUUAUUUGAAUUGUAAUGACUUGGUUGAAUGUAAUUAUAUUUUGGUUGAAUGUUGAAUUGUAAUGCUAUUUUGAUUUUUUUUAAUUACAA
Molecule: long non-coding RNA, 405 nt
Filed under: Trifolium pratense (red clover)
Lineage: Eukaryota; Viridiplantae; Streptophyta; Magnoliopsida; Fabales; Fabaceae
Description: long non-coding RNA (TPRA_LNC003456)
Source: RNAcentral